UGCCAGGUGGUCCAGUGGCACGGACGUCCGGCUGUUACCGGAAGACGAGAGUUCGAUCCCUCCCUGGCAG
Molecule: transfer RNA, 70 nt
Filed under: Actinomycetota bacterium
Lineage: Bacteria; Bacillati; Actinomycetota
Description: tRNA-OTHER
Rfam family: tRNA
About the family: Transfer RNA (tRNA) molecules are approximately 80 nucleotides in length. Their secondary structure includes four short double-helical elements and three loops (D, anti-codon, and T loops).
Source: RNAcentral